AUGAUCGCGAAGGUUGACAGGUACCUGGCUGGAUGGAGAGCCCGUCUUCUCUCCCCGGCCGGGCGUUUGGUCCUGAUCAACGCUGUCCUCGACGCCCUUCCCACUUAUGCUAUGGCGGCGAUGUUGCUCCCGCCGGCAGUGAUCAAGGAGCUCGACUCGCUCCGUCGGGCCUUCCUCUGGAAUGCGGCCGAGCGCGCCUCCGGAGCCCAAUGCCUGGUGGCUUGGGAGCGCGUUUGCAGG
RNAcentral lists this ribosomal RNA (240 nucleotides) under Triticum aestivum (bread wheat). RNAcentral describes it as "partial small subunit ribosomal RNA". Lineage: Eukaryota; Viridiplantae; Streptophyta; Magnoliopsida; Poales; Poaceae. The record is from RNAcentral.